This 571-nucleotide ribosomal RNA is filed under the name uncultured bacterium. Its description in RNAcentral is "bacterial SSU rRNA". It matches the Rfam family "Bacterial small subunit ribosomal RNA", at positions 200 to 756 of the family's 1533-position model. The record is from RNAcentral.
AUUAAAGCCCCGGCGGUAAGAUGGGAUGCGUCUAUUAGUUAGUUGGUGAGGAACGGCUACCAAGACAGCGAUAGGUAGGGGGCCUGAGAGGUGACUUCCACACCGUACUGAGACACGGACAGACUUCCACGGGAGGCAGCAGUGAGGAACACCGGUAACGGACGAAGUUGAACAGCCUGCCGCGUGCAGAAGAGGCCUACGGGUUGUAUCUUGUUUUAUAUUGGGAAGAAACCCCCGGAAGUGUCCGGGGCUUACGGUACCAUACGAAUAAGCACCGGCUAACUUCCGUGCCCAGCAGCCCGCGGUAAUACGGAGGGUUGCAAGCGUUUUUCCGGAUUUCAUUCGGGUUUAAAAGGGUCCGUAAGCGGGUCUUUUAAGUUCAGUUGGUGAAAGCCUACAGCUUCAACUUGUAGAACUUGCCAUUUGAUACUUGAAAGAAUCUUUGAGUAUAUUUUGAAAGUUGGGCGGAAUUGUGUCAUUGUAGCGGUGAAAUUGCAUAGAUAUUGACACAGAAACACCGAUUUGCGAAGGCAGCUUCACUAAACUAUAAACUUGACGCUUGAAGGGACGA